GACGAACGCUGGCGGCGUGCUUAACACAUGCAAGUCGAACGGUGAAGCCUUUCGGGGUGGAUCAGUGGCGAACGGGUGAGUAACACGUGAGCAAUCUGCCCUUGACUCUGGGAUAACUUCGGGAAACCGGAGCUAAUACCGGAUAUGACGCGCGGCCGCAUGGUCUGUGUGUGGAAAGAUUUAUUGGUCAGGGAUGAGCUCGCGGCCUAUCAGCUUGUUGGUGGGGUAAUGGCCUACCAAGGCGACGACGGGUAGCCGGCCUGAGAGGGCGACCGGCCACACUGGGACUGAGACACGGCCCAGACUCCUACGGGAGGCAGCAGUGGGGAAUAUUGCGCAAUGGGCGGAAGCCUGACGCAGCGACGCCGCGUGAGGGAUGAAGGCCUUCGGGUCGUAAACCUCUUUCAGCAGGGAAGAAGCGAGAGUGACGGUACCUGCAGAAGAAGCACCGGCUAACUACGUGCCAGCAGCCGCGGUAAUACGUAGGGUGCAAGCGUUGUCCGGAAUUAUUGGGCGUAAAGCGCGUGUAGGCGGUCUGAUUAGUCUGAUGUGAAAGCCCUGGGCUCAACCCAGGAAGUGCAUUGGAUACUGUCAGACUUGAAUACGGGAGAGGGUAGUGGAAUUCCUAGUGUAGGAGUGAAAUCCGUAGAUAUUAGGAGGAACACCGGUGGCGAAGGCGGCUACCUGGACCGAUAUUGACGCUGAGACGCGAAAGCGUGGGUAGCAAA
RNAcentral lists this ribosomal RNA (728 nucleotides) under uncultured soil bacterium. Its description in RNAcentral is "bacterial SSU rRNA". It matches the Rfam family "Bacterial small subunit ribosomal RNA", at positions 28 to 772 of the family's 1533-position model. The record is from RNAcentral.